Non-coding RNA from Acanthosepion pharaonis, 105 nucleotides. Lineage: Eukaryota; Metazoa; Mollusca; Cephalopoda; Sepiida; Sepiidae. The record is from the annotation of a GenBank genome assembly.
ACAGCCAUAUCACGUUUCUAAACUGGUUCUCAUAUGAACACCAAAGUUAAGCAAGUCAAGCCUGGUCAGUACCUAGGUGGGUGACUGCUUGGAAUACCAGGUGCU